Molecule: small nucleolar RNA, 74 nt
Organism: Lepus europaeus (European hare)
Lineage: Eukaryota; Metazoa; Chordata; Mammalia; Lagomorpha; Leporidae
Product: small nucleolar RNA SNORD93
Exons: 1
Source: RefSeq, a predicted model, not a curated record
UGGCCGAGGAUGAGAACUCUAUCCUGAUUGAAUACGCUUCUGCACUGAUGGGUUAAAGGAUUUACCUGAGGCCA